GCUCGGCAAAGUUAAGACUUCCUUCAUAGCGAUCGGAGCGUUAGCGGCCGCCAUGUUGAGGAAGAGAUCGAGAGCUCAGAAUCGGCGAAUCAGAUCUGUGAUCGGAGUCGAACCGCCUAUUUGAGAGAAAGUCAACAGCAAUAGAGAGAUGAUUCAAGUAGCUGAGAGAUCUAGAGCACAGAAGGAACCCUAGAAAUCAGUGAAGAAG
Molecule: unclassified non-coding RNA, 208 nt
Filed under: Hevea brasiliensis (rubber tree)
Lineage: Eukaryota; Viridiplantae; Streptophyta; Magnoliopsida; Malpighiales; Euphorbiaceae
Source: RNAcentral